Molecule: ribosomal RNA, 274 nt
Filed under: uncultured bacterium
Lineage: Bacteria
Description: partial 16S ribosomal RNA
Rfam family: Bacterial small subunit ribosomal RNA
Source: RNAcentral
AUACGAAGGUCCCAAGCGUUAUUCGGAGUCACUGGGCGUAAAGAGUACGUAGGCGGUUUGGUAAGUCAGGUGUGAAAUCCCGAAGCUCAACUUCGGAACUGCAUCCGAUACUGCCAGACUUGAGUAAUGGAGAGGCAGGUGGAAUUCUCGGUGUAGCAGUGAAAUGCGUGGAUAUCGAGAGGAAGACCAAUGGCGAAGGCAGCCUGCUGAACAUUGACUGACGCUGAGGUACGAAGGCUAGGGGAGCGAAAGGGAUUAGAAACCCGAGUAGUCC